UGAGCCGCUAGCUUCUUCGUGGAGCACGACUUUGGAUUCGAUGUUUAGCCAAGAGAUCCAGAUCAGGGUUCUGAGACUUGUGGCGGGUUUCCUUCUAGCUUCCAGCCUCUUCAGGCCAUGCUGUAUUCUUGUCCGUACUCGGACAUAAUUCGACUUCCGCUGAUGUAAUGAUGUAAUGUUAAGACAUGUGUCCUCUCUUUGUAAUAUUUGUUAUUCUGCU
This 220-nucleotide long non-coding RNA is filed under the name Brachypodium distachyon (stiff brome). RNAcentral describes it as "long non-coding RNA (BDIS_LNC003617)". The record is from RNAcentral. Lineage: Eukaryota; Viridiplantae; Streptophyta; Magnoliopsida; Poales; Poaceae.